AAAAAGGGGGGUAUUUCCCAAACACACCGCGUCUCGUCACUGCCCUCCCAUCCGCUGCCCCCCUCCCAAUAACUCAUCUCCUCACGAGCUGAUGUAAGCACAUAUAUCAGGAUCUUGAAUGGAAAGUGUGCGGCAGCAGCGAGAGCAUCCUGACAGAACUUUUUGUCAUGCCUGAAACAUCAUCAAUCAAAUUCUUGCAAGUCAGAUGGGCGAAUCACUGCACAUGAUGGGAGAGACACCGGCAUUGCAUCACAUAGAUCAAGAAGAACAAAAGUUUGCGUUCCAGUUUCUUCACGCAAAGUUUACUUGGUACACAGGACACGGCGCUUCAGAAAUGGCUGUACACACCAUAUCUUAACAUUAUCGAUCUGCAUACCUGCCAUCACAACACAACAGCACCCGGCCACCAAUUUACAUCACACGCUUCUAACGUACCGCCACCUUAACCCCAUCUGUUCAUACAUCACCUUCAUGUAUGCGUUUGUGUAUGUGAUCUUAUUGCAUGCAAAUGUGUGUUUAAAUGUACACACGCCCGACCGUGCGUAGGGAUGCUUGGCGUGGGGGGGUCGAGCGGCUGCGGUGGUAGGCGGUGACAGAAAUUGAGGGGGACGGGGUGGCAGCUGUGGGCUGCUCAGAGCACUGUCAGAGCAGAAUGAUUAAUGAACGGCAGCCCCAGCUGAGCCUAACCUUUGGAGAACCGCGCAGGACAUCUGCAGAACUGUCAGCGCUCUGACAAGGACAGAGCUGAACAACCAAUUAUUUCGCCAUCACUAAGGUGGGCUGUCAGCUUAAUCCUAGCCAUUCACUUAGGCAAGGACAGGCAAAUUUCUCCUUUACAUACACAUAGAGGCAGGGCGCUGCAUGGACACACAUACACACAAACAGACACGCGGUCGCAUGCAAACCGCUACGGUGAAACGCGUACACACACAUGCCUAGACAAAAUAGAAUUAACCCCCACUGUGCCAGAGGUGGC
Triplophysa dalaica is the source of this 976-nucleotide long non-coding RNA. RefSeq lists it as uncharacterized. Lineage: Eukaryota; Metazoa; Chordata; Actinopteri; Cypriniformes; Nemacheilidae. The record is from RefSeq and is a predicted model, not a curated record. The transcript has 3 exons.